Molecule: ribosomal RNA, 928 nt
Filed under: uncultured bacterium
Lineage: Bacteria
Description: bacterial SSU rRNA
Rfam family: Bacterial small subunit ribosomal RNA
Source: RNAcentral
AGAGUUUGAUCAUGGCUCAGAUUGAACGCUGGCGGAAUGCUUUACACAUGCAAGUCGAACGGCAGCACGGACUUCGGUCUGGUGGCGAGUGGCGAACGGGUGAGUAAUGUAUCGGAACGUGCCCAGUCGUGGGGGAUAACGUAGUGAAAUUACGCUAAUACCGCAUACAUCUAUGGAUGAAAGCGGGGGAUCGCAAGACCUCGCGCGAUUGGAGCGGCCGAUAUCAGAUUAGGUUAGUUGGUAGGGUAAAGGCCUACCAAGCCAACGAUCUGUAGCUGGUUCUGAGAGGACGGACCAGCCACACUGGAACUGAGACACGGUCCAGACUCCUACGGGAGGCAGCAGUGGGGAAUUUUGGACAAUGGGCGAAAGCCUGAUCCAGCCAUUCCGCGUGCAGGAUGAAGGCCCUCGGGUUGUAAACUGCUUUUGUACAGAACGAAAAGGUUUCUACUAAUACUAGGAGCUCAUGACGGUACUGUAAGAAUAAGCACCGGCUAACUACGUGCCAAGCAGCCGCGGUAAUACGUAGGGUGCAAGCGUUAAUCGGAAUUACUGGGCGUAAAGCGUGCGCAGGCGGGUUAUAUAAAGUCAGAUGUGAAAUCCCCGGGCUUCAACCUGGGGAACUGCAUUUGAAGACUGUAUGAACUAGAAGUCACGGCAAGAGGGAGGUGGAAUUCCGCGUGUAGCAGUGAAAUGCGCUAGAUAUUGCGGAGGAACACCCGAUGGCGAAGGCAGCCUCCUGGGCCAGUACUGACGCUCAUGCACGAAAGCGUGGGGAGCAAACAGGAUUAGAUACCCUGGUAGUCCACGCCCUAAACGAUGUCAACUAGUUGUUCGGUGAGGAGACUCAUUGAGUAACGCAGCUAACGCGUGAAGUUGACCGCCUGGGGAGUACGGCCGCAAGGUUAAAACUCAAAGGAAUAGACGG